GACGAACGCUGGCGGCGUGCUUAACACAUGCAAGUCGAACGGUAAGGCCCUUCGGGGUACACGAGUGGCGAACGGGUGAGUAACACGUGGGUGAUCUGCCCUGCACUUCGGGAUAAGCCUGGGAAACUGGGUCUAAUACCGGAUAGGACCACUGCCUGCAUGGGUGGUGGUGGAAAGCUUUUGCGGUGUGGGAUGGGCCCGCGGCCUAUCAGCUUGUUGGUGGGGUGAUGGCCUACCAGGGCGACGACGGGUAGCCGGCCUGAGAGGGUGACCGGCAACACUGGGACUGGGAUACGGCCCAGAGUCCUACGGGAGGAAGCAGUGGGGAAUAUUGCACAAUGGGGGCAAGCCUGAUGGAGAGACGCCGCGUGAGGGAUGACGGCCUUCGGGUUGUAAACGUCUUUCAGCACCGACGAAGCGCAAGUGACGGUAGGUGCAGAAGAAGGACCGGCCAAGUACGUGCCAGCCGCCGCUAUAA
RNAcentral lists this ribosomal RNA (478 nucleotides) under uncultured bacterium. Its description in RNAcentral is "partial 16S ribosomal RNA". It matches the Rfam family "Bacterial small subunit ribosomal RNA", at positions 28 to 523 of the family's 1533-position model. The record is from RNAcentral.